CGGAUUUACCGACUCACACACAGUCCGCCGGUUCUGGAAAAUAGACCGAGGAUUAUUUAUCUACUAUAUAACUUACAUCCCAGAUAAGCUCGACGAUUGUCUGUUUAUACUUCAGAGCAKCAUGUUAGUAGGAGAGUAAUCCUGAUGAUGCUGUAGAACAGCGAAUGCUCGACUUCAUCUCUAAAGAUAUUAACUGGCUUCAGGAAGCUCACUAGGACUUCACAGUAAGCUUUAAUAAUGGAGUGAUUGUCAACCAACUGUCAUUUCAAGGAUGGCAUCUUCAUCAAAUAAUGAUGUCCAAACCUUCAAAGUUGUGUURUGUGGUGAGAAGGGUGUUGGGAAAACUGCCAUCUAUCAUAGGCUUAAAGAUGAUAAGUUCUAUGACACAGAGUCACAUACAGCAACCACUGAUGAGUGCAUGUUAUCUAUCCCUUGUGGAAAACAUCUAGUUAAGGUUUGAAAUCUCUUGAAAGUUUCCUCUGCUAUCUUGAGAGAUUAGUCUCUUGAGAGACUUAUGUGCCUYUGUAGCAAAUUGAGAUGACAGUUAUGGAUACC
Molecule: long non-coding RNA, 555 nt
Organism: Exaiptasia diaphana
Lineage: Eukaryota; Metazoa; Cnidaria; Anthozoa; Actiniaria; Aiptasiidae
Exons: 3
Source: RefSeq, a predicted model, not a curated record